This 107-nucleotide small nuclear RNA is filed under the name Prolemur simus (greater bamboo lemur). The record is from RNAcentral. Lineage: Eukaryota; Metazoa; Chordata; Mammalia; Primates; Lemuridae.
GCGCUCACUUGGGCAGCACAGACACUGAAACUGGAACCAUACAGGGAAGAUCAGCAUGGCCCCUGUGCAAGGAGGACAUGCAAAUUCACAAAGUGUUUCUUAAACAU